Molecule: ribosomal RNA, 497 nt
Filed under: uncultured bacterium
Lineage: Bacteria
Description: partial 16S ribosomal RNA
Rfam family: Bacterial small subunit ribosomal RNA
Source: RNAcentral
GAUGAACGCUGGCGGCGUGCCUAAUACAUGCAAGUCGAGCGAACGGACGAGAAGCUUGCUUUUCUGAUGUUAGCGGCGGACGGGUGAGUAACACGUGGAUAACCUACCUAUAAGACUGGGAUAACUUCGGGAAACCGGAGCUAAUACCGGAUAAUAUUUUGAACCGCAUGGUUCAAAAGUGAAAGACGGUCUUGCUGUCACUUAUAGAUGGAUCCGCGCUGCAUUAGCUAGUUGGUAAGGUAACGGCUUACCAAGGCAACGAUGCAUAGCCGACCUGAGAGGGUGAUCGGCCACACUGGAACUGAGACACGGUCCAGACUCCUACGGGAGGCAGCAGUAGGGAAUCUUCCGCAAAGGGCGAAAGCCUGACGGAGCAACGCCGCGUGAGAGAUGAAGGUCUUCGGAUCGUAAAACUCUGUUAUUAGGGAAGAACAUAUGUGUAAGUAACUGUGCACAUCUUGACGGUACCUAAUCAGAAAGCCACGGCUAACUACGUG